ACCUGGAUAGCUCAGUUGGUUAGAGCGUGGUGCUGAUAACAGCAAGGUUGCAAGUUUGAUCUCCGCACUGGGCA
Molecule: non-coding RNA, 74 nt
Organism: Podarcis lilfordi (Lilford's wall lizard)
Lineage: Eukaryota; Metazoa; Chordata; Lepidosauria; Squamata; Lacertidae
Source: the annotation of a GenBank genome assembly